RNAcentral lists this ribosomal RNA (501 nucleotides) under uncultured bacterium. RNAcentral's name for it is "partial 16S ribosomal RNA". It matches the Rfam family "Bacterial small subunit ribosomal RNA", at positions 28 to 523 of the family's 1533-position model. The record is from RNAcentral.
GAUGAACGCUAGCGGCAGGCCUAAUACAUGCAAGUCGAACGGGAUCAGGGAGCUUGCUCCCUGUGAGAGUGGCGCACGGGUGCGUAACACGUAUGCACCCUACCUUCAACUGGGGGAUAGCCUGCCGAAAGGAAGAUUAAUACCGCAUAACAUAAUUGAAUGGCCUCAUUUGAUUAUCAAACGUCAGGGUUGAAGAUGGGCGUGCGGCCGAGUAGCUAGUUGGUGUGGUAACGGCACACCAAGGCGACGAUCGGUAGGGGCGCUGAGAGGAUGACCCUCCACACUGGUACUGAGACACGGACCAGACUCCUACGGGAGGCAGCAGUAAGGAAUAUUGGUCAAUGGACGAAAGUCUGACGGAGCGACGCCGCGUGGAUGACGAAGGCCGAAGGGUUGUAAAAUCCUUUUGUUGGGGAAGAAUAAGGCUGGGAGGGGAUGCCCGGCUGAUGACAUGAACCGACGAAUAAGUCCCGGCUAACUACGUGCCAGCCGCCGCAGUAA